UACGUAGGGUGCGAGCGUUGUCCGGAAUUAUUGGGCGUAAAGAGCUUGUAGGCGGUUUGUCGCGGCUGCUGUGAAAAUCCGGGGCUUAACCCCGGACUUGCAGUGGGUACGGGCAGACUAGAGUGUGGUAGGGGAGACUGGAAUUCCUGGUGUAGCGGUGGAAUGCGCAGAUAUUAGGAGGAACACCGAUGGCGAAGGCAGGUCUCUGGGCCACUACUGAUGCUGAGAAGCGAAAGCAUGGGGAGCGAACAGG
Molecule: ribosomal RNA, 253 nt
Filed under: uncultured bacterium
Lineage: Bacteria
Description: partial 16S ribosomal RNA
Rfam family: Bacterial small subunit ribosomal RNA
Source: RNAcentral